CAGCAGGACCGGUGCCCCGAAGGCAUUUCUGUGUGUGUUAACUGCCACCUGCAAAGGGCUGUUGCUGAGCUGAUGCUACUGGAAGAAUGUUGCCACGAAAUCCAUCUGAAGGCAACAGCUCUCUGGCAUAGGAAGUGUUACUGGUGGGAGGGGAGGAAUGAAGUCUGCGCCGCAGCUGUUGUUGGUGAAUCCAUUAUCCUGCCUUCCUUCCCAGCACUUCACCUACGGGAUGAAAAGCCUUGUACUGUUAAGUAAGCAGUGUUGAUCCAGUGGUUUACUGAAGCUGUUGGUGGUUCUGUUGGGAGAGGG
This 309-nucleotide long non-coding RNA is filed under the name Gallus gallus (chicken). RNAcentral's name for it is "long non-coding RNA NONGGAT006478". The record is from RNAcentral. Lineage: Eukaryota; Metazoa; Chordata; Aves; Galliformes; Phasianidae.